Triticum dicoccoides is the source of this 461-nucleotide long non-coding RNA. RefSeq lists it as uncharacterized. The record is from RefSeq and is a predicted model, not a curated record. NCBI's taxonomy places the organism in Eukaryota, Viridiplantae, Streptophyta, Magnoliopsida, Poales, Poaceae. The transcript is spliced from 2 exons.
UGUUGUCCGCGAGGGGCCGGGUGAGUGGGGUGCGCAGUGGACGGAGUUCGUCUCGUGGGAGCCCAGGGCGUUCGUCUACCACAAGUUCCUGAUUUCUUAGCAAGAUCAGACAGACAAAAAGAAAGGUUCAGACAAGAUACAACAUGGGUGUCAAGGUGCGCAUAGGUGCAUUCACAAAGAGAAUUCUGAAGCUUCAUGGCGUGCCCCACCAGACCACGUUGUCGACGAGUGCGUCCGUCACCACUCCCUCUGCCAUCAUGGCUCACAUUUUUUGUUCUACAACAGUUGAUGUAGCGUCUUUCAUUGAAUCUUCCACUGUUCAGAUUACCAACACGACUCUUAUGUAAUUAUCAUGGUGCUAAUUCUAUAGUUAUCAGGGUGCUAAUGAUAUAUUUAUCACACUUGCUUAUGGUAAAAUUACCAUGUUGAAUUUUUCAAUGGAGACAUAUAUGUUUUUAACA